Long non-coding RNA from Pteropus alecto (black flying fox), 765 nucleotides. RefSeq lists it as uncharacterized. NCBI's taxonomy places the organism in Eukaryota, Metazoa, Chordata, Mammalia, Chiroptera, Pteropodidae. The record is from RefSeq and is a predicted model, not a curated record. The transcript is spliced from 3 exons.
CCCAGUGUCCUGUGUUCUGAGUUGUCAUUUCCUGGCCUUGCCCACUGCAUAGGGAUGCAGGAGGGAAACGUGGCUUGUCAGAAGAGGUUACUGGUGAGCCUCUCUUUACGAAAGGCCUCCGCAGAGAAGUACAAACCUGUGAGCAGCCGUAGCGGGCUCAGGACAGCACAGGGACCAAGUUCCUGGCAGUAUCCUGAUCGGUGCGUCCCCACAGGGCAUGACACAGAGAAGGCCCCCUGCACCAGGACUCGAUUGCUUUGUCGGCUCGAGGGAAGUUUCCAUCAUUCACAGUGCGGUGGACCCCACCUGCUGUUACCCCGAAGUUCAUUUACCACUACUUACCGGGUCAGAAUCAAGGAGAGUAGCCUGUAAGGAAUGUAAGAAGCAUCAUGACCAGUAGGGAGCUGAAUCCCUUGACAACCCAAGGCGACUGGGGAUGGAGAAUGAGACAGGAUGGCAUGGAGAAGAAAUCUGGAGUCAGACAAGGCAUCUGGUCUACUCAAUGUCGUGCGGUCUCCACGCCAUUCUGAUGGAACUGUGCGAGCGUGCAUCUUCCCGCUGCACCCUGCCAAGACCUGCGUGUCCCCAUGACCAGUUCCAGGAGUGCAGAACCCCUUUCCAAGACCAGACGUGAACGUGUCACCUUUUACAGAUACAGAGAGUGUGGAAUUUUUUUUUUCCCAAAGGAGAAAAUUCUGUUUUGUAAAAUGAGGGGAGAAUCUGUGCUUGCUGAGCCCUCGCGCUUCCACAGUCUCAUUCAUUCUC